CAUCAGUGGGCAUCAAGCAAUGAUGUGUUGGCCAGAGGCACGGUGAAGCUUCCUUCUCUGUUCCUCCCCUUCCACACCCAUAAGAGAUUGCGGGAUGGUCACAGGCAAAGACUGAGAUGUUGGCCAGUUGCACACAUGGUUGCUCCACUAAGGAGCACGUUUCCGCAAAGAAAUGUGGUCUGGUUGCACUCUUCAGCUUGACCUCUACAACCCCUUAUGUUCCUUUGGUUGGAAUUAUGAUCAGUGCUUCCAGACACCUCCCUCCUUUUCUCCCUGUCCCCACAGAGACUGACAGACUGUUACGUACAGUGUUUAUGUAAGCGUAGAUGGGAUUGCUGGAACAUGUUGGGAAGCAAGACUGGUUUUGCCUCAGCAAGUAGGGAUGUUUGUUGUGAGACCGUGGAAAAAACACAUGCAGUUUGGAAAAAGACAUUACAUCAGGUGCAAGAAAGGCCUAACGUGUGGAAGGCGUUGGAUUCUCAGACACGAGUCAGAUACUUGGAGAGAUGCAUUUCUUGGAAUUCACAGCCAAAAGAUUUAGUGGUAUUUGAAAGCAUACGUACAUACAGUGGAAGUAUUUACAACUGUGCUAUCAAAGACAAGAGCAUAAAAAAGCAAUUAGUCCUAUUGUAGGACAUUCCAGAGCAGUCUCAUCUGCCAGUCACUGAGCCUCAGUGGGAGGGGAGGAGUAGGAAGGGAGUACUGUCAGCAGGUGUCUUCUGUUCCAUAGAAGUUGAUCUGUGAGGUGUAUGAGUUUUCUUCACUUUUUUUUUUCACCCAGUCUGUCCAUCUUCCUAAAAUGCUGUACGGCCAAUUUUCCCUCUGGGCUGUUGCUGUCAGACUGCAUCUCAAUUCUGAGAACUGCUCCAGUCCUUCAGUCUGAUGUUGAUUUGUUGCUUCACCCAUGCUGUGGGUCUUACAGUAUGUAGCAACAGAAGGAUUGGGAGGUGGAGGUUGUGGAUUUAGUUUCCCCGUGGUGAAGCCAGUAGAACCAGCUUUGCGCGUAAGGAGUGGCUGCUUAGAGGGUUUCCAUUUCACUUCUGUGCUGAAAUAUUUUGAUUAAACAAUGCAAAACUAGCUGUGGCAGGCCUCUGUAGCUCAGGCACACGCUUGCUUUUGGCAUGUGUGCUCAGACAAGAGUCGCAGCGAUGGUCCCUCAAGAUACAAAAGAAGUGAGGCUGCUGUUUUCUGAGGACCAAUGUGUCCUGCAGCUUUUGUUCACGGCCAGUUGAGAUGCUACUGACAAUGGCUGCAGAGGCAGGAAGAGGAUUCCACAAACAUUCCAUUACUUUAUUUAGGAAUGGGAUGUUGUAAACGUGAGGCACCAGUACAGAACGUGUUGAGUGCUUCUUCUCAGCUUAUCCUUAAACCUGUGGGAUGCUCGCUGGGGAUCCUUGCAGAAUGAUGAGAAGGGGCUGGGAAGUGUAUAGAAGCCUCCCAUCUGUUUACGUGGAAUUGCCUGUCCCCAUCUCUUUACAGGGAAAACAUUUGGACACUCAGUGAGUGAGGAAGCGCUCAGAAAUAGUUUUGCCACUUUUAAUGAACUUUAAAACGUUGUUUGGUAAAGAGCAUCACAGAUGAUUUAAGUACAGUAAGCUGAAUGAGAACUCAUUUCUGAGUUUCUAUGGCAUCACUGUAAAAAAAAUACAUAAAUCUGUAACUUCCUAUUUUUACAGUUGUACUUUCGGUCCUUCUGCAACACUGAUAGACUUAGGAAGCAGAACCACUGAGCUCUACCUUAGUGUCUCAUGACUUUCCUGGGCUUGACGUGAUCCUAUUUUCCUUGUGCUUAUUUUCAUAUCCUCUAGAGGGAGAAGUAAGUUGCUCAGACUGUCGGAAGUCUGCUGAGAAUGAAUUAGUGUAUGAACAGUGCUAAUCAUGUUCCUGUAAAUUUUGGUGGAUCUGUUAUGUGGCACCUAUGCCUUUUAGUUCUGCUGAGUUUGUAGUUCCUGGGCAAAGUGUUAUGCUCUCAAAGGUGAUAGGGGCAUAAUUUGUUCUGGGCCGGGCAGGGCUCCAGCUGGUAUUAAUGAUGGAUUUAGGAUGAGAGUGCAGGCAGCACAUGACGAACACCAAGGAGACAUUUUUCCUGUGUGUAUGAAGACCUGUGGUGAGAAUCUAAAGCAUCCUAAGGAUACCACUCUGCAACUGUUCAAACUUGUGGGCAUAAACUACAAUCUUGUGUAAUGCAAUAGACAGUAACUGCUUUCCCACACAAACUAGCUGUAAGCACAAUUUGAGUAAUUGACAGCUGUUAUUUUUCUUUCCCUAUGAUUGUUUAUUUUCAAAGGGCAGAAAUAAGGACAAACUUGGCCUUUCUUCAUGGCAUGCAACAGCCCGCCUCUGAUCUCUGCAGCCCGUGUGUACCUGUAAGCUCUCCCAAGCAAGAAUGUGAACAUCAGACCUAGCCUACAGCACUGGAUUUAAGAUGCUCUCCAACCUACCCUGGAGAUCCAUGUCUGCUUCGGAGCUCAGCGGCCAUGAGUCUUGAACUGUGUUGAGCAGGAGUGGCUGCUGGCAGUGUUGCUUGGUGUUUGAUUUCUGUUGUGCGUUUUGGUUUUGGAUUGGUGGGCUUUAUUAAUUGCUUUGUUUUAAGAUAUCUGGUUAUAUGGGGCUGCAGCACAGCAGGAUGACAGAUGGGCUGUGACCCUUCUCCUGGUAUUAAUGCUGGGCCAAGGAAGCGAUGGGGAUGGAGAACAGAAAGCUGGACCUGUGGCUAGCUUCUGGAGGACACUUGAAGCCAAAGAAUUUACUUGGCAUUCCUUCUCUUAAGCCUUGCUUUUCACCUCCUUUUACCUAAUCCGACCCCUGCCUCUUGCAGCUUGACAUGAGCACCAUGCUUGAGGCAGAGAGAUGUUGCAG
This 2859-nucleotide long non-coding RNA is filed under the name Gallus gallus (chicken). Its description in RNAcentral is "lncRNA (ENSGALG00010012396.1)". Lineage: Eukaryota; Metazoa; Chordata; Aves; Galliformes; Phasianidae. The record is from RNAcentral.